RNAcentral lists this ribosomal RNA (268 nucleotides) under uncultured prokaryote. Its description in RNAcentral is "partial 16S ribosomal RNA". It matches the Rfam family "Bacterial small subunit ribosomal RNA", at positions 524 to 792 of the family's 1533-position model. The record is from RNAcentral.
UACGUAGGGGCGAGCGUUGUCCGGAAUGAUUGGGCGUAAAGGGCGCGUAGGCGGCUGAGCAAGUCUGGAGUGAAAGUCCUAUUUUCAAGGUAGGAAUUGCUUUGGAGACUGCUUAGCUUGAGUGCAGGAGAGGUUAUCGGAAUUCCCGGUGUAGCGGUGAAAUGCGUAGAGAUUGGGAGGAACACCAGUGGCGAAGGCGGGUAACUGGACUGCAACUGACGCUGAGGCGCGAAAGUGUGGGGAGCAAACAGGAUUAGAUACCCUGGUA